CCCUUAGAUGUCCUGGGCCGCACGCGUGCUACACUGACGCAUACAACGAGUAUUUCCUGCUCCGCGAGGUAGCAGGUAAUCUAUAAUAUGCGUCGUGAUGGGGAUAGAUCUUUGGAAUUGUAGAUCUUGAACGAGGAAUUCCUAGUAAGCGUAAGUCAUCAUCUUACGCUGACUAAGUCCCUGCCCUUUGUACACACCGCCCGUCGCUCCUACCGAUUUCGAGUGGUCCGGUGAACUCCUUGGACUGCGAAGGCAACUUCGCGGGAAGCUGAGUAAACCUUAUCACUUAGAGGAAGGAGAANUCGUANCA
Molecule: ribosomal RNA, 310 nt
Filed under: uncultured eukaryote
Lineage: Eukaryota
Description: partial 18S ribosomal RNA
Rfam family: Eukaryotic small subunit ribosomal RNA
Source: RNAcentral